GACGAACGCUGGCGGCGUGCUUAACACAUGCAAGUCGAACGGAAAGGCCCUGCUUUUGUGGGGUGCUCGAGUGGCGAACGGGUGAGUAACACGUGAGUAACCUGCCCUUGACUUUGGGAUAACUUCAGGAAACUGGGGCUAAUACCGGAUAGGAGCUCCUGCUGCAUGGUGGGGGUUGGAAAGUUUCGGCGGUUGGGGAUGGACUCGCGGCUUAUCAGCUUGUUGGUGGGGUAGUGGCUUACCAAGGCUUUGACGGGUAGCCGGCCUGAGAGGGUGACCGGACAUAUUGGGAGUGAUAGACGGCCGAGACUCCGACGGGGGGGAGCGGUGGGGAAUAGUGCAACAUGGGCGGAAUCCUAAUGCAGCACCGCCGCGGGCGGGAUGAGGGCCGUCGGGUUGUAAACCGCUUUCGCCUGUGACGAAGGGUGAGGGACGGUAAUGGGAAAAGAAGCACCGGCUAACUACGUC
This 468-nucleotide ribosomal RNA is filed under the name uncultured bacterium. RNAcentral's name for it is "partial 16S ribosomal RNA". It matches the Rfam family "Bacterial small subunit ribosomal RNA", at positions 28 to 507 of the family's 1533-position model. The record is from RNAcentral.